RNAcentral lists this ribosomal RNA (240 nucleotides) under uncultured bacterium. Its description in RNAcentral is "partial 16S ribosomal RNA". It matches the Rfam family "Bacterial small subunit ribosomal RNA", at positions 96 to 334 of the family's 1533-position model. The record is from RNAcentral.
UGGCGAACGGGUGAGUAACGCGUGAGGAACCUGCCUCAAAGAGGGGGACAACAGUUGGAAACGACUGCUAAUACCGCAUAAGCCCACGACCCGGCAUCGGGUAGAGGGAAAAGGAGCAAUCCGCUUUGAGAUGGCCUCGCGUCCGAUUAGCUAGUUGGUGAGGUAACGGCCCACCAAGGCGACGAUCGGUAGCCGGACUGGGAGGUUGAACGGCCACAUUGGGACUGAGACACGGCCCAG